RNAcentral lists this ribosomal RNA (458 nucleotides) under uncultured bacterium. Its description in RNAcentral is "partial 16S ribosomal RNA". It matches the Rfam family "Bacterial small subunit ribosomal RNA", at positions 338 to 795 of the family's 1533-position model. The record is from RNAcentral.
CCUACGGGGGGCAGCAGUGAGGAAUAUUGGUCAAUGGGCGAGAGCCUGAACCAGCCAAGUCGCGUGAGGGAGUACGGCCCUAUGGGUUGUAAACCUCUUUUGUCGGGGAGCAAAAGCCGGACGUGGCCGGCUGUGCGAGUACCCGAAGAAAAAGCAUAGGCUAACUCCGUGCCAGCAGCCGCGGUGAAACGGAGGAUGCGAGCGUUAUCCGGAUUUAUUGGGUGUAAAGGGUGCGCAGGCGGAUUAUUAAGUCAGCGGUAAAAUCGUGGGGCUCAACCCCAUCCAGCCGUUGAAACUGGGGAUCUAGAGUGGGCGAGAGGUAUGCGGAAUGCGUGGUGUAGCGGUGAAAUGCAUAGAUAUCACGCAGAACCCCGAUUGCGAAGGCAGCAUACCGGUGCACAACUGACGCUGAGGCACGAAAGCGUGGGUAUCGAACAGGAUUAGAUACCCGGGUAGUC